AGACGUAGGGGGCGAGCGUUGCUCGGAAUCACUGGGCGUAAAGCGCGCGCAGGCGGUCUUUUAAGUUGGAUGUUAAAGCCUACGGCUCAACCGUAGAACUGCAUCCAAAACUAUUAGACUAGAGUGUGGGAGAGGAAGAUGGAAUUAGUUGUGUAGGGGUAAAAUCCGUAGAGAUAACUAGGAAUACCAAAAGCGAAGGCAAUCUUCUGGAACACUACUGACGCUGAGGCGCGAAAGCGUGGGGAGCAAACAGGAUUAGAUACCCUAGUAGUCC
RNAcentral lists this ribosomal RNA (274 nucleotides) under uncultured bacterium. RNAcentral describes it as "partial 16S ribosomal RNA". It matches the Rfam family "Bacterial small subunit ribosomal RNA", at positions 523 to 796 of the family's 1533-position model. The record is from RNAcentral.